AGCCUGCCGCGUGUAUGAGAAGCCUUCGGGUUGUAAAGUACUUUCGGCGGGGAGGAAGGGUACCGUGUUAAUACCCUUGGCCAUUGACGUUACCCGCAGAAAAAGCACCGGCUAACUCCGUGCCAGCAGCCGCGGUAAUAGAC
Molecule: ribosomal RNA, 143 nt
Filed under: uncultured Enterobacter sp.
Lineage: Bacteria; Pseudomonadati; Pseudomonadota; Gammaproteobacteria; Enterobacterales; Enterobacteriaceae
Description: partial 16S ribosomal RNA
Rfam family: Bacterial small subunit ribosomal RNA
Source: RNAcentral